RNAcentral lists this transfer RNA (144 nucleotides) under Alectoria sarmentosa. RNAcentral's name for it is "tRNA-Ser". It matches the Rfam family "tRNA". From Rfam's summary of the family: Transfer RNA (tRNA) molecules are approximately 80 nucleotides in length. Their secondary structure includes four short double-helical elements and three loops (D, anti-codon, and T loops). Further hydrogen bonds mediate the characteristic L-shaped molecular structure. tRNAs have two regions of fundamental functional importance: the anti-codon, which is responsible for specific mRNA codon recognition, and the 3' end, to which the tRNAs corresponding amino acid is attached (by aminoacyl-tRNA synthetases). tRNAs cope with the degeneracy of the genetic code in two manners: having more than one tRNA (with a specific anti-codon) for a particular amino acid; and 'wobble' base-pairing, i.e. permitting non-standard base-pairing at the 3rd anti-codon position. The record is from RNAcentral. Lineage: Eukaryota; Fungi; Ascomycota; Lecanoromycetes; Lecanorales; Parmeliaceae.
GGGGAAAUGGCUCAGUGGUAGAGCGUCCGCUGUGAGUAGUCUCAUCUUUUACCGUGAGGUCAAUGAUCUAAUUGAUUUCUAGUUGCAUCUUCUGUUGAGUGCUCAGUCUGCGGAAGGCCCGGGGUUCGAUCCCCCGUUUCUGUG